AUGCUCUCUUCGGCAGCACAUAGACUAAAAUUGGAACGAUACAGAGAAGAUUAGUAUGGUCCAUGUGCAAGGAUGACUCACAAAUUUGUGAAGCAUUCCAUAUUAAA
This 107-nucleotide small nuclear RNA is filed under the name Salvator merianae (Argentine black and white tegu). Lineage: Eukaryota; Metazoa; Chordata; Lepidosauria; Squamata; Teiidae. The record is from RNAcentral.